CCUUGUACUGAGGGAUAGCCUUUGGAAACGAAGAUUAAUACCUCAUAGUAUUACAACAUCGCAUGGUGAUGUAAUUAAAGGUUACGGUACAAGAUGAGUAUGCGUCCUAUUAGCUAGAUGGUGUGGUAACGGCAUACCAUGGCAACGAUAGGUAGGGGUCCUGAGAGGGAGAUCCCCCACACUGGUACUGAGACACGGACCAGACUCCUACGGGAGGCAGCAGUGAGGAAUAUUGGACAAUGGAGGCAACUCUGAUCCAGCCAUGCCGCGUGCAGGAAGACUGCCCUAUGGGUUGUAAACUGCUUUUGUACGGGAAGAAACCGCUCUACGCGUAGAGCCUUGACGGUACCGUAAGAAUAAGCAUCGGCUAACUCCGUGCCAGCAGCCGCGGUAAUACGGAGGAUGCAAGCGUUAUCCGGAAUCAUUGGGUUUAAAGGGUCCGUAGUGGGCCGGUCAGUCAGAGGUGAAAUCCUGCAGCUCAACUGUAGAACUGCCUUUGAUACUGCCGGUCUUGAAUCGUUGUGAAGUGGUUAGAAUAUGUAGUGUAGCGGUGAAAUGCAUAGAUAUUACAUAGAAUACCGAUUGCGAAGCAGAUCACUAACAGCGUAUUGACACUGAUGGACGAAAGCGUAGGUAGCGAACGGGAUUAGAUACCCCGGUAGUCUACGCCGUAAACGAUGGAUACUAGCUGUCCGGCUUCGGCUGGGUGGCUAAGCGAAAGUGAUAAGUAUCCCACCUGGGGAGUACGUUCGCAAGAAUGAAACUCAAGGAAUUGACGGGGGCCCGCACAAGCGUGGAGCAUGUGGUUUAAUUCGAUGAUAC
This 822-nucleotide ribosomal RNA is filed under the name uncultured bacterium. Its description in RNAcentral is "bacterial SSU rRNA". It matches the Rfam family "Bacterial small subunit ribosomal RNA", at positions 129 to 960 of the family's 1533-position model. The record is from RNAcentral.